UGGCCGGCUGGCCCCCUUAUCAAGCCGACUAAAACAAAACUGCCAACGACAAUCUCGAACUGGCAAUUGCUGCCUGAUCUUCAGGUAACAAGCGGGUGCCCGUGAUCUUCCGGUAGCGGGCCCCGAAAAACCUCCCAACGGGUGGCCUUGCGGCCUGCCGAAAGGAGGCACGGAAUGGGAAGCCGCAGCGCGCCUCUGCCGCUUCCGAGACAAAAGGCGCAAGGCCUUGAACAGGGUCGUCUGCUUUAACCCCUGUAGAGGCGCUACCCAAAGCAGACCAAGCCUGUGGAUGAGUUCUGGCUUCUAGCUUCUUGGACGUGGGUUCAACUCCCACCACCUCCACCA
RNAcentral lists this transfer-messenger RNA (345 nucleotides) under Holophagales bacterium. Its description in RNAcentral is "partial transfer-messenger RNA". It matches the Rfam family "transfer-messenger RNA", at positions 54 to 374 of the family's 374-position model. From Rfam's summary of the family: Bacterial tmRNA, also known as 10Sa RNA or SsrA, is named for its dual tRNA and mRNA-like properties. Its role is to liberate the mRNA from a stalled ribosome. Lineage: Bacteria; Pseudomonadati; Acidobacteriota; Holophagae; Holophagales. The record is from RNAcentral.